CAGUCGCCACGGUAACACGAAGGGGGCUAGCGUUGCUCGGAAUCACUGGGCGUAAAGGGCGCGCAGGCGGCUGUGUAAGUCUGUCUAGAAAGUGCGGGGCUAAACCCCGUGAGAGGAUGGAAACUGGACAGCUGAGAGUGUCGGAGAGGAAAGCGGAAUUCCUAGUGUAGCGGUGAAAUGCGUAGAUAUUAGGAGGAACACCGGUGGCGAAAGCGGCUUUCUGGACGACAACUGACGCUGAGGCGCGAAAGCCAGGGGAGCAAAUGGGAUUAGAUACCCGAGUAGUCCCUGUCUCUUAUAC
Molecule: ribosomal RNA, 301 nt
Filed under: uncultured bacterium
Lineage: Bacteria
Description: partial 16S ribosomal RNA
Rfam family: Bacterial small subunit ribosomal RNA
Source: RNAcentral